This 1645-nucleotide unclassified non-coding RNA is filed under the name Leishmania donovani. RNAcentral describes it as "gene:LdHU3.34.3790(CDS-product:hypothetical_prote in_conserved)". The record is from RNAcentral. Lineage: Eukaryota; Euglenozoa; Kinetoplastea; Trypanosomatida; Trypanosomatidae.
AAUCCUCCUUGCGCGGGGCACCUGGAACUCGGCGAAGCAAGCGAGGCACACACACACACACACACACACAAGGAAAAGUGAAACCGAAAAGUGUGCGCUGCACCUCUCUCAACUGCUCCUUCUAUACCUCUCGGCGCUGAAAGAUAACUGACCUCUUACUUACUGACACCAACACAAACAUGAAAUCACCGGAGUCUUUCGAUGGUCUGAGCUCUCACUGCCAGCGGGCGCGCUUCCGGGUUCAGGCUUGCUUCGAUACGGCAGCCCAUGAGCUCAUUCUCUCCGCCGAGGCAUCCGAGAACUCUGCUCUAUUAAUCGCAGAUGACUGCUCGGUAGAACUACGCGUUGCACCGGUAAGUAGCGGUGCUGCCGGCGCCGCUGGCGUCUCACCAACGACGCACGCACUCACAGCAUUGCCGUGGGAUUGCAGCCGAAUGCGACUUGGCGUCAACGGUAUCAGUUACGGCACCGGCCCGCUGGUGUUGCGGGAUGGAGACGAACUCACGCUGCACCCCAACCACGUCACAGAGGCCACAACGUCGUAUACAUACAACGUCAAAGCAGUUCCCGCAUCGGCAGAUGUGGCUGGGAAUGAGAUGGGGAAUGGGCCCCCACUUGAGACCCGCCCCAGUGCAUCUGAAGAGAAUCAUCGGCUGCGAGUGAUCAUGUCGAACGUGGAGCAGUACGCAAAGUGGAACAAUUUUUACAGCGAACGGUUCACCAACCUCGCCACGGUCAGCGUGCCGCCGAGCAACGGCACUUGUACGACCGGCCAGCUCCACAAAUGUGCGUGUGGGUCCUAUGUACAGGCAGAGGUGGGCACAUCCGAUGCCAUGCCACGUGGGACACACCCACCCAACGCCGCGCAGACGCCGCUCGUGUGGGAUGCAGACGCUGACGUGAGUAAGGCGCUUCCGUCAGCACAUGCCCGCACCCUCGUUACGCUGCUCCCCAGCCUCCCCCAGCUGCUAGAUUUCGGCUCCCCUGCAACGCAGCCACCGACAGCGCCCCGUGCACCCUUGCCGGCAACGUGCUGCUGCUGUCCGUUCACGUCUGCAUCCUCAAAUCCGGCGCUGCGGCUCUGCAGAAAGAAGUCGGCUUAUACAUCAGCGGCCGCGCCUCCCUCUUCUAUCGGUGAGAGCAGCGACGCGCAGCAAGUCUGCGAGACCGGCCCGUCUUUGCGUGUCGAUGCGAGACAGACUUCUUGGAGCGUCUACGCCCAAGCUCGUCGCGACGACUGUGUAGCCGCUCCACAGGUCAGCAAUGCCAAGAAAGCGGUUGAUGCGCCCAACAGUGACGCCUUCUUGGGUGGCGCCUCACUUGGCAGGCCAGCUGUAGCGCUCUUGAACCGCAUCAGCUCCUUAGAGAGUGCACUGAUGGGCUUACGCUACGAAUGAGCGAACCCUCGUCGGGAGCUUCCUUUCUUUUUCUCUAACUCCGCCAGUGGUGCCCAGAGAUGCGCGGAUGGCGGAAUUGAGGCCACAUGAGUGCCAGCGCCCACCCCGCACCUGUGCGCACACACGUGGGCGAGGUUUCCUGCGUUGUAUGUGUUCGCGUCCGAAAAGGGCUGCGUUCCUCCUCCGUUCAUCUCUCCUUUUUGCAAAAAAAAAACGCCUCUGCCUUUUCAUCACUCACUCACUUACAG